Molecule: long non-coding RNA, 483 nt
Organism: Pogoniulus pusillus (Red-fronted tinkerbird)
Lineage: Eukaryota; Metazoa; Chordata; Aves; Piciformes; Lybiidae
Exons: 3
Source: RefSeq, a predicted model, not a curated record
AACACCUGCCACACAGGUGGAAUUGAACUGCUGGGUGCAGUGGGAACUCCUGGUGCAAGGUGGGUAGUUAAAUUGAUUUAACAAAGCCAUGUGUGACUGAGGACUGCCUGUGCUCUUCUGCAGGUGGGAGUGGGACUGAAAAGGAAGACUGCAAGAGAUUGAUGUCCUGGUACCUACAUGAGGAGAUUUGGAUGAAGCCUCACUGACCUAGCAGAGGAUGUGAUGGAUGGCAGUGGAGGUCAUUGCUGAACUAAGUUCUCCAAAGGGAAAAGCACUGCUGAGCGAGUCAUAAAAAACCAGUUCCUCUGCUGAGAAGUUACCCAUUACUCUUUCCUGCAGAGAAAAUUAAACCCAAGCUAUCUGGCAGUCCCAGCUCUGCAGCACAUUCCAGCUACUGAACUGUGUCAUACUGUUUUAAAAGAAGAACUCUAGAGCAUCUCCUGAAAUGGAAGCAGCUGUGACUUUUUAAGUGCAAAGGAAUCA